This 76-nucleotide transfer RNA is filed under the name Vibrio anguillarum. Its description in RNAcentral is "tRNA-Asn". It matches the Rfam family "tRNA". Rfam says of the family: Transfer RNA (tRNA) molecules are approximately 80 nucleotides in length. Their secondary structure includes four short double-helical elements and three loops (D, anti-codon, and T loops). Lineage: Bacteria; Pseudomonadati; Pseudomonadota; Gammaproteobacteria; Vibrionales; Vibrionaceae. The record is from RNAcentral.
UCCCCCUUAGUUCAGUCGGUAGAACGGCGGACUGUUAAUCCGUAUGUCCGCAGUUCAAGUCUGCGAGGGGCCACCA